RNAcentral lists this ribosomal RNA (417 nucleotides) under uncultured bacterium. RNAcentral's name for it is "bacterial SSU rRNA". It matches the Rfam family "Bacterial small subunit ribosomal RNA", at positions 8 to 425 of the family's 1533-position model. The record is from RNAcentral.
AGAGUUUGAUCCUGGCUCAGAGCAAACGCUGGCGGCGUGCCUAAUACAUGCAAGUCGAACGGGGAAAGUAGCAAUACGAGUACUAGUGGCGCACGGGUGAGGAACACGUGGGUAAUCUGCCUUCGAGCGGGGGAUAACCAGUCGAAAGAUUGGCUAAUACCGCAUAAGACCACAGGAUCCGAGGAUCUAGGGGUCAAAGCAGCAAUGCACUCGAAGAUGAGCCCGCGUAAGAUUAGCUAGUUGGUGAGGUAAUGGCUCACCAAGGCGAUGAUCUUUAGCUGGUCUGAGAGGAUGAUCAGCCACACUGGAACUGAGACACGGUCCAGACUCCUACGGGAGGCAGCAGUAGGGAAUAUUGCGCAAUGGGGGCAACCCUGACGCAGCGACGCCGCGUGAGUGAUGAAGGCCUUCGGGUCG